Mustela erminea (ermine) is the source of this 923-nucleotide long non-coding RNA. RefSeq lists it as uncharacterized. The record is from RefSeq and is a predicted model, not a curated record. Lineage: Eukaryota; Metazoa; Chordata; Mammalia; Carnivora; Mustelidae. The transcript has 6 exons.
GAGCAACAAGAUAAAAGGAACCUGAAUCUCUGAAUCUGAGUCCCAUAAAUCUGUCCCACUGAACUCUGGACUGUUAUUAAGCAAGAGAAAUGAAAGUUAUGUAUUCAUGGCAGCAAGAAGUGGUCCAACUACAACAUCUUAGAUUCACAAACUCUGCUGACAGUAUGCUGUUAUCCCAUUCCCCAGAAGACUAACUAGAGAAAUUCCUAGCUGUCUUCACUGAAAAGGCCUACUUGGUAAUAAGCAUCCCUGGAGCCUAGACUAUGUUGAUUGAAGUAUCAUUUCACACUAAAAGAAGAGAAGUGGCUGGUUCCAGGUCUACGGCAGAGAAAACAUAAGGAGCUUCAGAGAAAAACAAAACCAGUGUACAACUUUGAAGGAAGAAGAAUGGCUGCUGUGUAUAACAUUGGAGAAGUAUUCUCUGCCACCCAUCUUCUCUCCUACAGUAUAAUCAGGCCAAACUUUCCAAAAUAUAACUUUAAUUCUGAAUCUUGCUCAAAAUUUCCUACUCUUCCUUUUUUUUCUUACUUGACAACCAGGCUGUCCAGCUCACCUUCAGUGAUUACUCUCAACAAAAGCACCCAAUAACAAAACUAGUCCACCUCUAUACUUUUCUCAUCCUGCUACAACUGGUUAGAAUCACUUUUAUCUAAAUCUUAAUCAUCUCUCAAGACCCAGUUAAAGCCCUCUAUCAUUCAUAAGACCUUUCCCAGUCUUCAUGGUUCACACAUUAGCUCUCUCUGAAAGUCCAUAACAGCUUUCAUCUGAACUUUCCUUUUGGCAUUUAAUAAAAUACUCUCUUGUGCCCUUGCCAAGUCUUUUUUUGAUCCACCUUCUACUCCAGUUCCUGGAAAAUAGUAACUGUAUACCAUAAAAACAAAGAUGAUUAUUAUAACUGUGACAGAUUGUAUUAUUGAUCAUAA